UCCUAGCCGUAAAUGAUGCUGAUUUGGUGUGACUGUCCUUACGAGGGAUUGUUGUGCCGGAGGGAAGCCGUUAAAUCAGCCGCCUGGGGAGUACGGUCGCAAGACUGAAACUUAAAGGAAUUGGCGGGGGGGUACUACAAGGGGUGGAGGCUGCGGUUUAAUUGGAUAAUACGCCAGACAACUCACCAGAGAUGACAGCAGAAUGAUGGUCAGUCCGAAGGGCUUACCUGACGCGCUGAGAGGUGGUGCAUGGCUGACGUCAGCUCGUGCCGUGAGG
This 277-nucleotide ribosomal RNA is filed under the name uncultured bacterium. Its description in RNAcentral is "partial 16S ribosomal RNA". It matches the Rfam family "Archaeal small subunit ribosomal RNA", at positions 745 to 1021 of the family's 1478-position model. The record is from RNAcentral.